Molecule: ribosomal RNA, 385 nt
Filed under: uncultured bacterium
Lineage: Bacteria
Description: bacterial SSU rRNA
Rfam family: Bacterial small subunit ribosomal RNA
Source: RNAcentral
AUUGAACGCUGGCGGCAGGCCUUACACAUGCAAGUCGAACGGCAGCACGGGAGCAAUCCUGGUGGCGAGUGGCGAACGGGUGAGUAAAGUAUCGGAACGUACCUUUCAGUGGGGGAUAACGUAGCGAAAGUUACGCUAAUACCGCAUAUUCUGUGAGCAGGAAAGCAGGGGAUCGCAAGACCUUGCGCUGAUGGAGCGGCCGAUAUCAGAUUAGCUAGUUGGUGAGGUAAAGGCUCACCAAGGCGACGAUCUGUAGCGGGUCUGAGAGGAUGAUCCGCCACACUGGGACUGAGACACGGCCCAGACUCCUACGGGAGGCAGCAGUGGGGAAUUUUGGACAAUGGGGGGCAACCCUGAUCCAGCCAUGCCGCGUGAGUGAAGAAGG